This 362-nucleotide ribosomal RNA is filed under the name uncultured bacterium. RNAcentral's name for it is "partial 16S ribosomal RNA". It matches the Rfam family "Bacterial small subunit ribosomal RNA", at positions 338 to 697 of the family's 1533-position model. The record is from RNAcentral.
CCUACGGGUGGCAGCAGUGAGGAAUAUUGGUCAAUGGCCGGAAGGCUGAACCAGCCAUGCCGCGUGAAGGUCAGUGCCCUAUGGGCGUUAAACUUCUUUUGUGCGGGAGCAAUAAUGGUCACGUGUGGCCAGACGAGAGUACCGUACGAAUAAGCAUCGGCUAACUCCGUGCCAGCAGCCGCGGUAAUACGGGGGAUGCAAGCGUUAUCCGGACUUAUUGGGUUUAAAGGGUGCGUAGGCUGGGAGGUAAGGCAGCGGUGAAAUGCCCCUGCUCAAAGGGGUGAAGUGCCAUUGAUACUGCCUGGCUGGAGUGCGGAUGACGUAGGAGGAAUUUGUGGUGUAGCAGUGAAAUGCAUAGAUAU